Molecule: small RNA, 132 nt
Filed under: Leclercia adecarboxylata
Lineage: Bacteria; Pseudomonadati; Pseudomonadota; Gammaproteobacteria; Enterobacterales; Enterobacteriaceae
Description: istR Hfq binding RNA
Rfam family: istR Hfq binding RNA
Source: RNAcentral
GUCAAAAUCCGUGCCGUAAAUUGCGCGUUCCCGUGCGAUCGCGUAUACUUCGGGCGUUGACGUAACACAGUGUGCACUGCGGUCACCAGCCGCAAACGCUGUAAAAAAAACCUCGCUUCGGCGGGGUUUUUU